UACGUAGGGGGCAAGCGUUGUCCGGAUUUAUUGGGCGUAAAGAGCGUGUAGGCGGUUUGGUAGGUCCGCUGUGAAAACUCGAGGCUCAACCUCGAGACGCCGGUGGAAACCAUCAGGCUAGAGUCCGGAAGAGGCGAGUGGAAUUCCUGGUGUAGCGGUGGAAUGCGCAGAUAUCAGGAGGAACACCCGUGGCGAAGGCGGCUCUCUGGGACGGUACUGACGCUGAGACGCGAAAGCGUGGGGAGCGAACAGG
Molecule: ribosomal RNA, 253 nt
Filed under: uncultured bacterium
Lineage: Bacteria
Description: partial 16S ribosomal RNA
Rfam family: Bacterial small subunit ribosomal RNA
Source: RNAcentral